UACGUAGGGUGCAAGCGUUGUCCGGAAUUAUUGGGCGUAAAGCGCGCGUAGGCGGCUUUGCAAGUCGGGUGUGAAAGCCCUCAGCUCAACUGAGGAAGUGCGCCCGAAACUGCAGAGCUUGAGUGCCGGAGAGGGUGGCGGAAUUCCCCCAAGUAGAGGUGAAAUUCGUAGAUAUGGGGGAGGAACACCGGGUGGCGAAGGCGGCCACCUGGACGGUAACUGACGCUGAGACGCGAAAGCGUGGGGAGCAAACAGG
Molecule: ribosomal RNA, 256 nt
Filed under: uncultured bacterium
Lineage: Bacteria
Description: partial 16S ribosomal RNA
Rfam family: Bacterial small subunit ribosomal RNA
Source: RNAcentral